This 406-nucleotide long non-coding RNA is filed under the name Gallus gallus (chicken). RNAcentral's name for it is "long non-coding RNA NONGGAT003720". Lineage: Eukaryota; Metazoa; Chordata; Aves; Galliformes; Phasianidae. The record is from RNAcentral.
GUCAGCAGCAUGCUGCAGCACAUGGCAGAUACCUGAGUGCGCUCAUCCCUCUGCUUCUCUACAGUGAUGCAACCACAGAGCGGUGCAGGUGACUUCUGCUAAGGUGUAAUCAGCCCCAGAAAACCAGGGAUUCUUAGCAACUGGCCUCACUGGCCUUACCCAUGCAACUUGCCAACAUCGGUGAGAAGACCCCAUGGACAACAAAAACCCAAACUGAAAAGGUUAAUACACAGAGCACACAUGCAUUCCAAGCCUGCAGCCCGAUCUUUGCCUAAAGCACAUUGCCUUCUCCAUCAAACCAAGACUUCAGAGCUCCACUCAGCUGCAUAUACACAGUUUCAGAUGUGCGGCAGAAUCAGCAACCAGAUGAGCAAGUUGUGCUUGUGUGCCUUGCGAGUGAACCCAU